UUUUUUUUUUUUUUUUUUUUUUUUUUUGGUAUUUACUUAGCUAUAAUAAAGAAUAAAAAGUCAUUUAAAAAACGCGAUAGGACAGAUAACAGACUCACAACCUAUUUAGAUUUAAACACUGCUGGUCUACGUAACCUGUUACAAAAAAGAGCAAAACCUAACUGUCAGCAUAGACAUUAAAGCUCACUGUUGAUUAUAGCCCAGGGUCUGCUCAGCAUUGUUUAAAAAGGGUCACUCACAGUUUUGUCAAAGAGUGCCGGUGUUCUCCAUGAACUCAGAAAGUGUUUUAUCCGAAAAGGUGAUUUUCUAAGUAGUGUAAGCCAUGGGUACAUGGUGCAAAAAGUUCAUGUUCUCACUCAGCUGGUGAGCAAAGGAUGGGAGCAGAGAACAGAGCUAAAACCCCUGGUUUUCCUUUCCCCAGAUGUAAAGCCUGCUAGCUGGAACUUACAGAAGAUUGGAACAAAAAGGUAGGAGAUGGACACCUGGGGGGCUGCUCCAGCAUGAAGGGAAGCAAUGAGCAUUGCACAGCAGGGCCAUUGCAGGGGACAGGUGCUAUAAUUCCUGCCCAGAGAACUUGAAAGCUUACAGUGUGAUAACAGGAAGGAAUCGGCUCAGCUAGUCCGGAAAUUGUUGCAUUUCCCACAUUACUUAGUUCUUUAUUCAUCCUGUGGUAAAGAGUCACCCUUGUUUUCUGUAUCUAUAAAACUGAAAGACUUAACACUUACUUAGCACAGCUCCCAACACCUUAGUAAAUGCUCAAGAAAUAUUAUUUCCCUUCCUUCUAGAAACCAAGACUAAAUAAAACAUUCCUGAAUUUUAUGUUGUCCAAAGUAACAAAACAAAACAACACCGAGUUUUUUCCUGUGCUAAGUACCGACCCUUUGACCACAAAGGCAUGGAACAUUAAUCUUCAAAUGGGCCGGGUUCCUUUGCCCUGAGAAAUGUUCCACUGUGAGGAUUUAUAAUACCUUUAAUCCUGGCUGGUUGUUUUUCUGAUGUGAUUGCACUCCUGCAAACUGGGAUUUUCCUAAUGGAUGUAACCCUAUUUCUUUUCUCCUGAUGUGCAAAUCUGAUAGUGGCUCACUUUUAGGAAACCACUUUUCAGCCUUUGGAAAAAAUUCUUUCCCCCACACCCACCUCAAUCUAGUAAUGGAAGAAUAUAUACAAAAUCUCCCAGCGACGAGGGAUUCCUCAGUCAUCCUGGAUUUACAUAUAAGGCACAUUUAAGGCACAAAUGAGCAUGCAAGGGAGGAAUGUGAGUGUGUGUGUGUCAGAGAGAGAAGGAGGGAGAGAGAAGCAUAGGCAUUUGGGUGUUUUGAAUAACUAUUAAUGUUUCCUCAAUCCCUUCUAUUCCCUGAUAUUCCCCAGGGCCUCAGGCAACACUCUUCCUUAUGAAACUGAAAAGGCUUAGGAGUAACUGAAUGAAUGAAUGAAUGAAUGAAUGAAUGAAUGAAUGAAACAUCUAAGACUUGUCUCCGGAUCCUUCACAGCCCCCACAUCACCACCACUUACUCCCUCCUGUAACUGCUCUCCCAGUGGGGCCUAUCCUAGCAUGUGUCUACGGACAGCCUCAGUUGAAGGUGGCCAAACAAAAUGACUCUCAAGAGGGCACUACCUGCCCACGGCUUCACAGGUCCAGCCAGCCCAGCGAGCAGAAGGGCUGGUGGAUUUAACCCAGGUUUCUUAAAGACUGGCUUUAACAGAACCAACUGUAGUGACUUGGGGCAGAUGAAGGGCAGGAUGAAGGUCUUCUCGUGCAUCUCUGCCCUCUCUGUGUUGGCAAGGUCAGCAUGAAUGGGCCAUUAUUCAACUGGGGGUGGGAUGUCCCCAUUUCUGGACUGUGCUCAGUUUCACACCUUGUAUGACAUGUGUGCAGAGGAGCUGGCCUGGAGAGGCCUCUGAUUCUGCCUCUAUGCUUUUGCUGGGUCUGAGGACAUGGGAGGGAGGAGUCAUAAAAUGCUGGAAAACAAUUUUAAUAAAACACUUGUGAAAAAAUGCUGGACAUUGACUCCCUGCCAGAAUAAAGAAGAGCCAAUUCAACAUCCCAACUUCAUGGGCACGUAAGAUUCACAAGCUGAACCGAGAGAUUUAGGAAGAAAAAAAAAACAUGGUAAUUAUAGGGGGUUUGUGAAUAAGUUGAACUAAAAGCUGCUUUCACAAUCUACAAAUCAGGGCUCCAAAUCAAAAUCAUUUAUAUUAACCAAAAGGUUAUCUAAUUUUGCCCAUAUUGGUGUCAAAUCUCAUCCCCACUCCCUGCCAAAAAAGAGCAACCUAGUUCAGCUGUCGGAUUUUUAUAUAACACUCUCUUUAUGUGAGCUAGACUCCAGAGUCCUCACACUUCACAGAAAUUCUUUCUUAAAACUGGCACUGCAGCCUUUCAUUUACAAUAUCCCUUUUUAAGUGCAAAGUCGAGAGCUGCGAAAAGAACCACACUGGGGGGGUCUGGGUUACGCAGGUCUUAUCCAGUGAAAAAUUAGUUCUCUGAAUCUUUGCAAGAUAGCUCUUUCACUGGUGCAAUCUAAGAAAGGGAAUGGGAAACCUGUUUACAUGAUGAAAAAUAUAAUUAAGAGAUUUACUCUUUAUUGCUUAUGGUCGCUCUGACAGACUCGUAUUUCUCAAAACUUACAUUCAGGAGCCAAUGUCUGCCACUAUUUGAAAUCUUUAGAGCUAAUCAUAAGUUAAUGACUAGUCUAAGAGGCCACUUGAUGGGGAAAACAAAUCCACUGAUAUUCUGGUCUUAAUUCCUGAACAGAAAAUGCGCACACAUCCAUUAAUUAUUUGGAACCAAUCUGGUGCUAUACAACUCUUCUGCGUCCUCUUGACCCCAUUGUGUCCUCCUAAAGGGACAAUUGUUAGUUCCUUUAACUCACUCAAGCAAGGAGUGGAGGGCAGAGGUUUAUCUAAAAGAGCAGUGAUGUUGGUUCUUGGAGCCCCCUUAAAAGGGCCAUCUGAGCUCUCUGGCUAAUGUCCCAUGUUUCUACAUAGAUUCCGUUUUGGAAGGACAGUUUCCCAGAGAAAGAGUCCCGCUGUUUGGAGGUCUAGACAGAGUGAUGUCAAGCAAGGGUAGGUAAGGGAGAAAAUAAAAUCCUCAAAGCACUAAGGACAAAGCACAAAGCACUAAGGCUAGAAGUUUCCUUUACCUUCUCCCUCCUCAUUCAGAAGAGCACGUUUUCUACUCUACACCCGGGAGCCUUGAAAACCCACUCUGGUUCAGUUGCAGCAGGUACAUGAGCUGGCUCAUUCUCUCACUUCUGCUCUUAAAUUUGAAACCUUUCCUUCCUCAUUGCCCAAAUCUACUUAGGUAAGUAAAUCUUAUCUUUUUGCCUUCUUUGGGCCCUAUGGCUGCCUAUGCCUGAUAAUGACCUGACAGUUUAAAAGAGAGGGAUGGGUCAGUGGAGGCCCAUUGGCUACCAGACACCAGCCAGGCCCAACAGGAUCUGGCCUGCAGACAGUGGAGCAGAGAGAAGCAGAAGCAGAACCUGCUAGCAACCCUGCUCCUGCACAGCCCAGACAGUCUCCACCCCGGCUAAUGUGAGGGACAACAAGAACCCUCCAGACAACAGGGCUGCCAGGACUACAGGGGCCCAGUCCAGCUUCCACUCACAGUGAGAAGAUGAACUUGGCCGCGUUCCAGGCUGGAACCCUCUCCAGCAUAGCAGAGAGAGGGGAAUCACUCACAGGGAGCCCCAAACGGGCCUAGACAGACAAGGCAGGGCCCCGCUUAUGAGAUACGAUGACAAAUGUUAAUAACAUCAAAUCCUGUACCUGAUAUGGAAUGGAAGCCAGGUUGUGGGCUUAAUCCCUCUAAGUACAGGCUCCAAUAACAAUGCAGAUGACGUGUGUGUGGUGGAGGGGAGAGAGAGAGAGAAGGGGAGAGAGAGAGCGAGCGAGUGAGAGAGAGAGAGAGAAGCCAAAACCAAAGGCAUUUCAGCUGCUCCUAAAAAUAAAAUACAAACUCUAUGCAUAUUUCUUACACAAAAUCUUUCCUAAGCUGGGAAAAAAACACUUGAGGGUCUUCUACAUUAUACAAUAAAAAGGCAAUUUCCAUUUCUUAUUUGUAUGAAAGAGGAAAGAUUUUUUUUAAACUACAAAAGUUACUUUUAAUCAUAAAAAAAAAAAAAAAAAAACCAACUAAAAGUAGGUUGGGGGUUACGUUGUAUCUCUUUGGGCGAGCUGCAAAGUAGCCAAACCUGACUAUCAAAGGUAAGAAUGUGGAUACACAAAUGUCACCCACCCCACCGUGCUUUGUGCAGGCAGGGGACGAGGAGGACAAAGUGGAAGUGUGGAGGGAGGAGGGGGCCAGGCAGGUGUGGAAAGACAAGCCAGCAAGGCUGUCUGAAAAGUCUGUUGUCAGGAACAGGGCUUCCCUUCUCUGUCACGAAAACAGGAUAGAAAAAGCUUGUGGCCAGGGAGCCCCGGGCCUGAGCGAGGCAUGGUGCCAUCUCUCGCUCUGAGCUCAUCCUAGAGGCAGACAUAUACAUGCUUAAGGGAACUUCUUUUUCAAUGGUUAUUAUUCCAGUUAAAAGAAAAAAAAAAAAAA
Molecule: long non-coding RNA, 4540 nt
Filed under: Macaca fascicularis (crab-eating macaque)
Lineage: Eukaryota; Metazoa; Chordata; Mammalia; Primates; Cercopithecidae
Description: lncRNA (ENSMFAG00000054677.1)
Source: RNAcentral